UAGGAGAAAAGAGCGAAUUGAAAAUAAAGAAUAAAAGACUGGUCUACUUUUUAUCAACACAACUUGAUAACCAUGACCUCCAACAACGCGCGUCUUGGAACAGAGAUGGACUGGGGGUACACAUGGUGAUAGUGCCGAUUUUAUCACCGCAUUAGUAGGGAAUCAGAUAAAACACUUCGAAA
Non-coding RNA from Caenorhabditis elegans, 182 nucleotides. The record is from Ensembl. NCBI's taxonomy places the organism in Eukaryota, Metazoa, Nematoda, Chromadorea, Rhabditida, Rhabditidae.